RNAcentral lists this long non-coding RNA (1227 nucleotides) under Sus scrofa (pig). RNAcentral's name for it is "lncRNA (ENSSSCG00070012334.1)". Lineage: Eukaryota; Metazoa; Chordata; Mammalia; Artiodactyla; Suidae. The record is from RNAcentral.
GUUAAAGAUUAGGAAAUACUGUUACAGCUAAAAACGAGUUAAGACCAUCUCCAGCAUGCUAUAUCCUCCUGCCUGGGCCCAAUACCUCAUGACUCAUGUUUACUUUCUGGUUAGAAUUAUAUUGCAGCUAGUGUUUUCUUUUGUAAUUGAAAGACUCCCUAACACCCUCCCCUGAAAGCAAUCUUCAUUCCAGAGAGGAGGACAAGGGACAAGAACCCUGAAGACAACCAGGAACCGUCACCAGACACCUUGGAUGCUGGCCUUGAGACUGUCUAUGGAUAAAGAAAAACAGACACCUUAAUCAGUAUCCCUGCCUUCGGAGCUAAACCUAUAAAGCGUUUGCCAUCCCCUCUCAAGUCAGGACAUAGUCGCGAGAUGUCAGCCUGCUGUGUCCUUCUUUGCCUGGCAAAGCAAUAAAGCUGUUCUUUCUUUUUCUCAAAACUCUGUCUCCGAGAUUUCAUCGGGGCCGACGUACAGAGGCGACAUUUUCGGCUGCAGAAGGGAACUUGAGAGGAAUUGAGGACGUCAGGGCACAGGUGACGGAGCUCUGGUCUUUGAAAGCUGGGAGAACCUUGCGAGUGACUUCGUUUCUCAGAACCUGGGAUUUCUGUAUGUGACAUGGGAAUGAUCUCAGUACCCGUUCUGCUUAAAGCCAGGCUGUGGCCAGCAACCGAGAUGGGCAUGAGGGGAGACGAUUAUUUUCUGAGCAACGUCUGAAUCCCCUUUGGGCCAGAACUGUCGCUGCUGCCCGACCGGAAGCCCUGAGGUUCCAGCCUGCGACCCCAAGACGCCAGCCGUACAGAGGCGUAACUUCAAAAGAUGAGGAUUUUCUCCUACUGAGGAGGACACUCAGCAGAACAUGCUGCUUACUUCAGAGGCAACGCCAAAGAGCGAUUUUACAGCAUUUUGAAUCCUGCCUGCAUUGUUAUAAUAAACUGACUAUCUCCCUAGAUGACCAUUGUUAUAAUAAACUGACUAUCUCCCUACUUGAAGAAGUAGACAACCAUUUGGCUAUAUGUUUGUUUAAAAAUGUAACAAUUUUAUAUUAGCAUUCAUCUUUUUAAAAAUAAUUAUACCAACAUUCAAGUCUAAAGGAGUGAGAUUUGGAGUCUGGGACAAUAUAGGGCCCCAGUAGAAUGAGGCCAAACAAGGAGAAAAGAGUAAACGAAAAAAAAAUCUAUGCAUUAUGACCAUAAUAAAAAACCAUGAGUUUCCCUGAGGUGUUCA